Molecule: non-coding RNA, 793 nt
Organism: Carica papaya (papaya)
Lineage: Eukaryota; Viridiplantae; Streptophyta; Magnoliopsida; Brassicales; Caricaceae
Source: RefSeq, a predicted model, not a curated record
CUAAGGUUCUAUCUGAAACUCAAAUCACGUGAUUAAAUAACUGUUGGAUGUUACUAGGUUGUUAGGAUAUUAAUCGUAUUUAAAACUAUUGCCUCGUAUAAGGUUGAGCCUGGUGAUAUUAACCUUCUAUAGCAUCAUCAUUGGAAAGAGUAACAUUUGUCAGCUUGGUAUAUAAUAACAUGGCAUGCAUACAUUACAAGAAGUGCUUACAUCCAAAUUGUAUACAAACCUCAUUUUCUACCAGGGUAAAAAUUCAUAACAUCUUAGUUAGGAGUUAUUUCCUGUCUAUGCAAUUUCUUUUCUAGGUCAAUGUGGUCCCCAAGGAGUAUCCAGUCGAGAUGGAUUGAGCGAGAGUCGGUUGAUGGAUCUCCUGCAUGGUUCGGAGAAUGUACUGACCUAUGAAGAUAAAGACGGUGACUGGAUGCUGGUUGGUGAUGUUCCAUGGAAGAUGUUCACCGAGACUUGUAAGAGGAUGAGGAUCACAAAGAGCUCGGAAGCUAUUGGCCUAGGUAAAGCAGCCAAGUAGAUACAUAAAACAAAUACAGAAGUCCAAAAUUUGUGUGAAGGCCAAAUAUGUAAAGGGUGAUGCUGUAAGCCUCUAAUAAUUCUCAAGUUUAGAUCUCAUGUUUCCACUUCUCUUAACAUGAAAGACUUGUGUAACAAGACAACAUUGUAGCAGCUAGUAGGCAACAUAGAAUAUAUUGUAGUCCUAGGGUUGCAGAUUUUAUAAAUCUGUCUUCUCCUCUAUAUUAUUCUCUUGAUGUAAUGUGAAUUUUUGUUGCUACUUGGAUCA